Molecule: transfer RNA, 83 nt
Filed under: Felis catus (domestic cat)
Lineage: Eukaryota; Metazoa; Chordata; Mammalia; Carnivora; Felidae
Also listed under: 3 other names
Rfam family: tRNA
About the family: Transfer RNA (tRNA) molecules are approximately 80 nucleotides in length. Their secondary structure includes four short double-helical elements and three loops (D, anti-codon, and T loops). Further hydrogen bonds mediate the characteristic L-shaped molecular structure. tRNAs have two regions of fundamental functional importance: the anti-codon, which is responsible for specific mRNA codon recognition, and the 3' end, to which the tRNAs corresponding amino acid is attached (by aminoacyl-tRNA synthetases). tRNAs cope with the degeneracy of the genetic code in two manners: having more than one tRNA (with a specific anti-codon) for a particular amino acid; and 'wobble' base-pairing, i.e. permitting non-standard base-pairing at the 3rd anti-codon position.
Source: Rfam by way of RNAcentral
GCCUGGGUGGCUCAGUCGGUUGAGCGUCCGACUUCGGCUCAGGUCAUGAUCUCAGUUCGUGGGUUCAAGCCCCGCCUCGGGCU